This 253-nucleotide ribosomal RNA is filed under the name uncultured bacterium. Its description in RNAcentral is "partial 16S ribosomal RNA". It matches the Rfam family "Bacterial small subunit ribosomal RNA", at positions 524 to 776 of the family's 1533-position model. The record is from RNAcentral.
UACGUAGGUGGCAAGCGUUGUCCGGAAUUACUGGGCGUAAAGUGUGCGCAGGCGGCUUCGCAAGUCGAGUGUGAAAUCCCCGAGCUUAACUUGGGAAUUGCGCUCGAAACUACGGAGCUGGAGUGUGGCAGAGGAAGGUGGAAUUCCACGUGUAGCGGUGAAAUGCGUAGAGAUGUGGAGGAACACCGAUGGCGAAGGCAGCCUUCUGGGCCAACACUGACGCUCAUGCACGAAAGCGUGGGGAGCAAACAGG